GGGGCCGUAGCUCAGUUGGGAGAGCGCCUGAAUGGCAUUCAGGAGGUCGAGGGUUCGACUCCCUUCGGCUCCACCA
Molecule: transfer RNA, 76 nt
Filed under: Geminicoccaceae bacterium
Lineage: Bacteria; Pseudomonadati; Pseudomonadota; Alphaproteobacteria; Geminicoccales; Geminicoccaceae
Description: tRNA-Ala
Rfam family: tRNA
About the family: Transfer RNA (tRNA) molecules are approximately 80 nucleotides in length.
Source: RNAcentral